GAUGAACGCUAGCUACAGGCUUAACACAUGCAAGUCGAGGGGUAACGAGAGGAAAGCUUGCUUUCCUUGUCGACGACCGGCGCACGGGUGAGUAACGCGUAUCCAACCUGCCCCCAACUAGGGAAUAACCUUGCGAAAGUAAGACUAAUACCCUAUAAUUUCCUCAGAUGUCAUCUGACGAGGAAUAAAGAUUUAUCGGUUGUGGAUGGGGAUGCGUCUGAUUAGCUUGCUGGCGGGGUAACGGCCCACCAAGGCAACGAUCAGUAGGGGUUCUGAGAGGAAGGUCCCCCACAUUGGAACAGAGACACGGUCCAAACUCCUACGGGGGGCAGCAGUGAGGAAUAUUGGUCAAUGGGCGGAAGCCUGAACCGGCCAAGUAGCGUGCAGGAUGACGGCCCUAUGGGUUGUAAACUGCUUUUAUGCAGGAAUAAAGUUAGCCACGUGUGGUUAUUUGUAGGUACUGUAUGAAUAAGGACCGGCUAAUUCCGUGCCAGCAGCCGCCGUAA
Molecule: ribosomal RNA, 506 nt
Filed under: uncultured bacterium
Lineage: Bacteria
Description: partial 16S ribosomal RNA
Rfam family: Bacterial small subunit ribosomal RNA
Source: RNAcentral